This 394-nucleotide long non-coding RNA is filed under the name Olea europaea subsp. europaea. The record is from RNAcentral. Lineage: Eukaryota; Viridiplantae; Streptophyta; Magnoliopsida; Lamiales; Oleaceae.
AUUCAAAAUAUAUGUAGACAAAGGCAAUCAUUAGUUCCCAACGUAGGGUUAAUGAAAUCCAAUAUAUAAAUUCGUUAAUAAAAGAAUUGAAAAAAAAAAUUGUGUCAUUUAAGUUAUAUAAGAAUUCCAUAGUCCAAGAGUUAAGAAUAACAACUUCCUUCAUUACUAAAAAUAGAAUAAUUGUUUAGAAUAAUGAAACAAAUUAUAUUUGUCAAGAAAUAAUAAAUUGUAUGAAUACGAUCUUCAUUGUAUAUCUUGAUUAAUUGGAUCGUUUCUUUCUGGAUACCUAUACCAAACUUUUGUAAAUUUGUUUCUGAUCGUCCAGGAAGAGAAUAUCCUCUAAUUCUACGAACAUUUAUAGAAUAUUCUUUUCUUGAGUAUCAUUCAAAUUAGU